RNAcentral lists this ribosomal RNA (492 nucleotides) under uncultured bacterium. RNAcentral's name for it is "partial 16S ribosomal RNA". It matches the Rfam family "Bacterial small subunit ribosomal RNA", at positions 29 to 507 of the family's 1533-position model. The record is from RNAcentral.
AGUGAACGCUGGCGGUAGGCCUAACACAUGCAAGUCGAACGGCAGCACAGUAAGAGCUUGCUCUUACGGGUGGCGAGUGGCGGACGGGUGAGGAAUACAUCGGAAUCUACUUUUUCGUGGGGGAUAACGUAGGGAAACUUACGCUAAUACCGCAUACGACCUACGGGUGAAAUCAGGGGAUCUUCGGACCUUGCGCGAUUGAAUUAGCCGAUGUCGGAUUAGCUAGUUGGCGGGGUAAAGGCCCACCAAGGCGACGAUCCGUAGCUGGUCUGAGAGGAUGAUCAGCCACACUGGAACUGAGACACGGUCCAGACUCCUACGGGAGGCAGCAGUGGGGAAUAUUGGACAAAGGGCGCAAGCCUGAUCCAGCCAUACCGCGUGGGUGAAGAAGGACUUCGGGUUGUAAAGCCCUUUUGUUGGGAAAGAAAAGCAGCAGGUUAAUACCCCGCUGUUCUGACGGUACCCAAAGAAUAAGCACCGGCUAACUUCGUG